RNAcentral lists this long non-coding RNA (4596 nucleotides) under Sus scrofa (pig). RNAcentral's name for it is "lncRNA (ENSSSCG00065067510.1)". The record is from RNAcentral. Lineage: Eukaryota; Metazoa; Chordata; Mammalia; Artiodactyla; Suidae.
GCCUCGUGCUGUGCUGCGUCGGCUGGGAGCUAGGUCCGCAGCCUCCGCCCGGAUCUUCCCGCUUUCCCGGAUUUUCAAAGGCCCAAAGUGGCCGCUGCCCUCUCAGUUUCCUGCUCUGGGGGCUCUUCUCCAAGAACUCGCCCACGCAAACUCUCAGCAGCCUCUGAAAAGGAGACUGAGGUGCAGUAAAAGGAAGUGGUUUUCAAAGGACACAUCGGUUAUGAGAGGAUCACCAACCUCCCAUGUCGUCUGCUCCUGACAUCCAAGCAUCACCAUCAUCAUGGCUCAGUGAUCCACCAUCACCUGAGACAGAAGAUCCUCCUUCUGACUGUCAUCGGAAGGCCUACAGUAACCUAACCCUACGUCACAAUGGCCACGUCACUCGCCUCACUUCAUCUCAUCUUGCAAGCAUUUUAUCAUCUCACGUCAUCACAAGAAGAAGGGACACAAUAUACAGGAUUAUCUCCCCACCUGAGAGAAGCUUCCAUGGAUUCCUGUAAGGCGGAGAGGUCAUGUGGAUCCAUAAUGUGUCCAGAGGUCCAGGGACAAGCUGGCAAGUAGUGGAGUCCCUUCCAGAAGGAGACAAAGGAAGGCAGAGGAGGAACCAACGAGUCCGGAAAGACUCAGCCCUCCGUACCGGUCCUGAGUGUUGGCCUGUUUCCCCUCCCAUCCUGCCAGCCCUGCAAAGGCCGACACACACCUGCUUGGCUUACUCCUGUGUCCUGAGAGCCCAGCCUAGCAUCUGGCACGUAACUGGUGCAUGGUAACAUGUGGCAAAGGCAGUCGGAUGCUGGCACAGACUCGGCCACCCAGAGCCUGGAGCACCACGCUGCAGCCCACACACGGAGAACUGCACCCACUGCUGCAGAGCAAGGGGGAAGGGGGUGUCCCUCCCAGGAUGUGAGGUGAGAGCAGCCAGGACCUCAGGAGGGACUCCUCCAGCGAGGGUCACUAAGCUGAGAUCCACACAUGGAAGCCUUCUGGUGGAACAAAAGAAGGGAAAGGUGUUCCAGGCAGAAGGAAUAGCAUGUGCAAAAGUUCAAGGCAAUGAAAAUGCAUGGUAGGGGUGUUCCCCUUUUGGCUCAGUGGUAAUGAACCUGACUAGCAUCCAUGAGGAUACGUGUUUGAUCCCUGGCCUCGCUCUGUGCAUUAAGGAUCUGGCAUUGCUGUGAGCUGUGGUGUAAGUCACAAACACCACUUGGAUCCUGUGUUGCUGCGGCUGUGGUGUAGGCGGGCAGAUGCUGCACCGAUUCACCUCCUAGCCUGAGAACUUCCAUGUGCUGCAGGUGUGGCCCUAAAAAAGCAAACAAAGAAAGUGCAUGGUGGGUCCCUGGGAGUGACUGACAGGAGGGGCCGUGGGAGGGGACACCUAAAAGGUUCCUAGCACCUAAGCCUUCGACAUGGUCCAAAUGAAACGCUCAGUACAAUGCUAGAGAAAAGAAAAAAUCCAAUCCUCCCAGGCUAUUCACUUCCUCCCCACCCAAGCCUGCUCUUGGCAACUCCUCACCACAGAGGGACUGGUUUCUGAGAACAGCUUGAGGCAGAAGUCCUCGGGGGUGGUUCUGCUUGAUCAGGAUCCAGACCACCAGGGGGAAGGAGGGCAGAGGCCAUGUUCUAAGUGCUUUAAGUCUUUAAUCUCUACUCACUUGGUCUCUACAAUACCCUGCGUAGUAGAUUCUAUUAUUACACCAAUUUUACAGAUGGGGAAACCAAGCAACAAGAGGUUAAGAGCUGCCUAGUAUCUCACAGAUAGUACACUGAGCAAUGCAACUGGGGUAUGAAUGCAAGCAAACUGCCUCCAGGGACCUGCCCCACUGCCUUGUCCCCCCUGUGAGGCACUUACUGGGAAGACCCACAGUAUAGGUGUUUUACAUGCAGACCUCACCCCAUCUUCCCAUCAGCCCUGAGAUGUGUCACUGAUGGCCCCUAUUUUAGAGCCAGGGACAGCCUCAUUUAGGUGAAAGUUUCACACUUAGGAGAAGGAACCUCCUGACCCAAGUGCAAACGUUGGCUUGAACCUUGUUUCAAGCCUCAGUCGAGAGACCGGUCUGUGGGGAAUAAGCCAGUUCUGAGAACCACGCAGGUUUCCUGCCUCAUUGCCCCAGCUCAGGCCCAGGGAGCCUGGAUUGUCAGAAGAGGCAGUUUAGACAGCUCAGGGUUAAGGUUGGUGGCCAGGAGUUUCCUUCUUUGAGCUGCUAGAGGUAACCUGGGAUGGGUCUGGUCUGGAGACAUUCCUAGAAUCAAAACCCUGCCACUUCUCCCAACCCCUGACUAGCUCGAUGACCUUGGGCAAAUGCUUUAACGUCUGUGCCUUCACUUCCCCAUGUGUAAAAUGGGGGAGGUAAUAUCUCCCUUGUAGAACUCUUAUAAAGAUUAGGAGUUCCCUUUGUGGCUCAGUGGUUAAUGAACCCAACUAGGAUCCAUGAGGAUGAGAGUUUGAUCCCUGGCCUCGAUCAGGGGAUUAAGGAUCUGGUGUUGCCGUGAGCUGUGAUAUAGGUUGCAGGUGUGGCUUGGUUGUGGUGUAGGCCAGCAGCUGUAGGUCCGAUUCAACCCCUAGCCUAGGAACCUCCAUAUGCCACAGGUGUGGCCCUAAAAAACAAAAACAAAACAAAACAAAAAAAAUUAUAUGAAAUGUGAAAUGGGUACCUAAAGCCCCUAAUCCAUGCCUGGUAUGUAAUCAUGAUGAUACUAAUAUUAAAAAGAAUAAUAGAGGCUCACAGAAGGAAUUGGCCCAAGGUCAUGCCCAGUGCGCCUUCUGCCCAUACUCUUCUUUGUCGAGCCUCUACUUCCAUGGAUGACUCCAGCUCUCUGGUAGUUCCUGUGGGUUAAAACCAGAGUCCAGAGGCCUCUUCGGACCCUCUCCCUGGCAGCCCCGCUCCCAGCCACCUCCAGAGCAGGUGGCUGGCAACUACUUAGUGACAUGUAAGUCUAUGUCUCUCCUCUGGGCCAACUCAAGAACCAGAGGCUAGCACAUUUCCCAUGGCUUCAGAGGAACUCAGUGAAUGUUGUUGAAUGAAUGCGGGCAGGCACCCUCCAAUCAUGUUCCUUCUUCAUCCUCCCUUUCCCUGGAAAAGAUUCUCUAAUCCUGAGAUAACUUCAAAUGCCUCCUCAUGUCAGGCACAUACAAAACCCUCUGCUGCUGGCCCGUGUAGUCCCAUCUGCCUGGCUGACGAACCACCCCCAUCAUAUUCUCCUGUGUCCUUCAUAAUGCUCGUCAUGCACCUGCCUUUGCUUAUUCUGUUCCCUGUGCUGGAGAUGCCCUUCCCUUCCCUCCCAGGCCCCCUUGGAAAAUUUCUAGUCAUCAUUCAAAAUACGUUUUAUUCAUUCCACAAAUAUGUAUUGAAUGCCCACGAUAUGCCAGGUACUGUUCUAGACCUUGAGGCUAUGUCAAGGAGCAAAAUAGAAGUUCCUGGGCAAUGAGGCCUACAGCCUACUGACCACCUGGGAGCAGAAGCUUCUAAGUUGGUUAAAGAUGGGGUGGGGGAGAGUACCCACAGCUCCAGCAACCCCCUCCUGGAGAACCCUUUUCUCUAAUCCCCCUCCAUUCUCAGAUAGCUGUGGCCUGCUUCCUGGUGACCCCUCUGUACCAGGACACAGACUAUAAGGGUCUAUUUACAUGUCUGUUGGUCAGAAGAGAUGGGAUGAAGAUGGAGGAAUAGAAGGACUGGAGCUCAACUUCUCCUAAAAACAACAAUAUUCACAACUAAAGGCUGAGCAAUCUUCAACCAAAUGGACCAGAAACUUUCAAAAAGAUAUCCUACUCCAGAGGACAAAGAGGAGGCCACAUCAAGUGGUAGGAGGGGCAAUUACAUGAUAUAAACAACCCCAUACCUCCCGGGUGGGAUGCCCCACAGACUGGAAACUAACUGGUUCACAGAGACUCACCUAUAGGAGUGAGAAUUCUGAGCCCCACAUCAAACUCUAACGUGUGGGUAUCUGGCACUGGGAGAAAGAGCCCCUGGAGCAUCUGGCAUUGAAGGCCAGUGGGGCUUGUGUGCAGGAGCUCCACAGGACUGAGGGAAAUGGAGACCCCAUUCUUGAAAGGUGCACACAGACAUUCACAUGCACUGGGUCCCAGGGCAAAGCAAAGUCUCCAUAGGAAUCGGGGUCAAACCUGACUGUAGCUCUUGGAGGACAUCCUGGGAAAACAGGCGUGAAUGUGGCUUGUUGUGAGGGAAGGACAUUGGAAGCAAAGCUCUCGGGAAUAUUCAGCAGCCUGGCUUUCUCUGGAGGUGGCCAUUUUGGGAAAAUCUGGCCCCACACAUCAGUCAGUGCUGAGAAACCCCAGGACAAACAACAAUCUAGGUGGGAUCACAGCCCCACCCCUCAGUAAACAGGCUACCUAAAGACCCCUUAGGCACACAGCCACCUCUAGUCCCAUCCAGAGACAAAGCCCCACCCACCAGAGGGAUUAGAAUCAACUCCAUGUACCAGUGGGCAGGCAUCAGUCCCUUCCAUCAGGAAGCCUACAGCAAGCCCCCAUACCAACUUCAGCCACAAGGGGAGCAGACACGAGAAGUAAAAAGAUCACCACACCAAAAACCUAUUAAAAUGAAGACAGAGAACUAUAACUCAGAUGAGGGAGAAAGAAAAAAA